CGUGGACAAACAUACCAUGUUCCGACGUUCGUCUCCAUAAUCGAAUCGCAAAUUUUGACACGGUGGAGAGUCAACGACAUAGCAUUUUUCGCAAUGUUUCCGUCGUCGCGCAAAAGUCAAUAGACGCACUGUUAACUUCGCAUUACGUCGUCGAUAGCGUGGACAAACAUAUGAUGUUCCGACGUUCGUCUCCAUAAUCGAAUCGCAAAUUUUGACACGGUGAAGAGUCAACGGCAUAGCAUUUACUGGAUAUCAUCGAUGGAAACUUGCGGCCUUUUCCUGCUUUGAGAGAAAGAGACGAUGCAAUCGACAAUGCUGAUCCCGGACUGUGGAACUGCUCAGAUAUUAU
This is a non-coding RNA of Linepithema humile (Argentine ant), 349 nucleotides long. Lineage: Eukaryota; Metazoa; Arthropoda; Insecta; Hymenoptera; Formicidae. The record is from RefSeq and is a predicted model, not a curated record.